GAUUGUUUGGGCAGUGAAGAUAGAUUGCUCAAUUGCUCCUACGAUUCUUACACCGGAGAUUGUGGACAUCAACAUGAUAUUGGUGUCUAUUGUUCCUUUGAAUGUCCAAAAUCAGGCACUUUGCGUCUUCUUGAAGGUUCAAAUAAAAAUGAAGGACGACUCGAGGUGUAUAUCCAAGAUACAUGGGGAACUGUUUGUGUCAAUAAUUUUGACACUAUUGAUGCUACAAUAGCAUGUCAACAACUUGGAUAUUGUUCUGGAAACGCUGUGCUGCCAAAUUUGGUAAAUGACGGAACUGGUACUAUCUGGUUGGCUGGCCUUCUUUGUUCUGGUAUUGAA
Mytilus trossulus (common blue mussel) is the source of this 339-nucleotide long non-coding RNA. RefSeq lists it as uncharacterized. The transcript is spliced from 3 exons. The record is from RefSeq and is a predicted model, not a curated record. Lineage: Eukaryota; Metazoa; Mollusca; Bivalvia; Mytilida; Mytilidae.